GGAAAUACCAGACAGGUAUUGUACAGUAGUUUAAGAAUUGUAUAUAGACUUACGUACAGCUUAGAGGCUGCGAUACGACAGCGCACCUUAGUUACGACCGAAUACGUAUACGUCAGAUGUAUACUCGGAACCCCUCGGGCUUUAUAACUGUCAAUUCCGUUUUGACGUCAUCAUUGGUCGGUGCGCCUUUGAAACUGAAGAAAAUGGCCGACGAAAUGACUUGGAGACGAUAUUUUGUAAAACUUGCGAUGUUAAGGUUGUUCAAUACAAUUGAAAUGUAGAGAAUCGUAUUGAUACCAUUGGCUAGCGAAAUUAGUCUGUGUUAGACUGUGCUGAGUUUGAACGGAAGAAACUUGCGUCUGUUGAGUUAUUCAACUUUCUUUUAGUAUUACUGGAGGAAAGUAAUACAUACCUUCACAUACAUUGUACAGUGGGGCUAACAAAACAGGAGGUCGUUCGUCUGACCAAGAUAAAAUGCAGCGAUGGUAAAAUAAAUGUUAUCAAGCGAGUCGUCGGAUACGCGUCCUUGACAACAUCGCAUGUGAUGGCAUGAAUAAUGACAUUUAUCAAUCUGAACUGUUAUAAUACAUCCUGAUCCUCUGAUCUGACAUCGCUAUACUCAGCCAGGACUGCACUCCUUUAUACAGCGAAACCCCGGCCGAGAGUCACGAAUUGUUUUAUUUGGAUUCAUUUCUAUAACAGUUUAUUUAGCAUUGGUUAGAAUAAAUCAGUAAACGGUA
Pecten maximus is the source of this 740-nucleotide long non-coding RNA. RefSeq lists it as uncharacterized. NCBI's taxonomy places the organism in Eukaryota, Metazoa, Mollusca, Bivalvia, Pectinida, Pectinidae. The record is from RefSeq and is a predicted model, not a curated record. The transcript has 3 exons.